AUCCCCCUCCUUCAGGAUUCCUACUUUUCUCCUCAAUCUGUUACCCAUCAGCAGCACUUUUUCUCCCCGCACCAGUUAACAUUUCUGAAUUCCCCUUGUUUUCAGCAGUGAAUGAGAAAUCUUUAAAGCAACAAAUCAAAGCACACAGACUGUUGAAAAUAAAUCACAGAUGAUAUCUGAUGAUGAGAACAACACGUCUUGUCCCUGACAUUUGUUAAUUUUGAAUUUUUUUUUCAUUUCUGCUGUUUUUGCUGCCCAUGAACUCACACUAAGAAGAGCUGACUGCCCAAACCAGAACCAAAAUAUAUUUACUCCUUAAAGGACAAGAUGAAGGAAUGCUGGAGCAUCUCGCUGUCCACCCCUCACCCCUCUGCUUUUCCUCCAUUCAACCAAAACAACGCCUCCGUUCUUCCAGCCACACUAUGCAGAUUGUUUUAGAGGACAAGCGAGAAAGAGAAACAGACAGAGGCUGCAGAGGACAAUGAAACAGCUGGAUAUUCUAAAGCAGUUCAUUUUGCUAUUCUGUAUUUCUUAUCUUAUAGAGACGAGCAACUGUAAGCAUGAGCAGAAGUAAAUUGUGUGUUUCUCUUGAUGUGUUUGGUUCUACGCUCUUUUAACUAAGGCAUAAUAAGAUUCUCCUUUGCACAGCUCCGUUUAUGGUUUGGUGUAUGACAAGACAGAUAAUAAUACACAAACCAAACAAAAUAUUGUGCAGAAAUUCAUUGUUGCUGAUAGGGUAAUUAGUUGUGUGGUCCAGUGCCACAAGAAGACAACCAUCAUUGGGAAAAAAAAAAUCCAGAAGAAAUCGAACUUUGCCACAAGCCAUGUAAACCUGGGUAACACAUGGACAUGCUUUUCUUCAGCAGGGACAAAGAAGCUGAUCAGAGUUGAAAAGAAUAUUUGCGAGUCUGGUGAAACAUAUCUUCAAAAGGUUGUAGCUGUGACUGCAGCAAAAUGCUUUUUUUACUAAAUAAAAUACAUUGAACUUUG
Long non-coding RNA from Xiphophorus couchianus (Monterrey platyfish), 990 nucleotides. RefSeq lists it as uncharacterized. The record is from RefSeq and is a predicted model, not a curated record. The transcript is spliced from 2 exons. Lineage: Eukaryota; Metazoa; Chordata; Actinopteri; Cyprinodontiformes; Poeciliidae.